ACGGGAGUGGCAAGCGUUAUCCGGAAUUAUUGGGCGUAAAGCGUCCGCAGGCGGUCUGUCAAGUCUGCUGUUAAAGCGUGGAGCUUAACUCCAUUUCGGCAGUGGAAACUGACAGACUAGAGUGUGGUAGGGGCAGAGGGAAUUCCCGGUGUAGCGGUGAAAUGCGUAGAUAUCGGGAAGAACACCAGUGGCGAAGGCGCUCUGCUGGGCCAUAACUGACGCUCAUGGACGAAAGCCAGGGGAGCGAAAGGG
This 252-nucleotide ribosomal RNA is filed under the name uncultured bacterium. RNAcentral's name for it is "partial 16S ribosomal RNA". It matches the Rfam family "Bacterial small subunit ribosomal RNA", at positions 525 to 776 of the family's 1533-position model. The record is from RNAcentral.